Molecule: ribosomal RNA, 601 nt
Filed under: uncultured bacterium
Lineage: Bacteria
Description: bacterial SSU rRNA
Rfam family: Bacterial small subunit ribosomal RNA
Source: RNAcentral
CCUACGGGAGGCAGCAGUGGGGAAUAUUGCACAAUGGGCGCAAGCCUGAUGCAGCGACGCCGCGUGAGGGAUGACGGCCUUCGGGUUGUAAGCCUCUUUCAGUAGGGAAGAAGCGAAAGUGACGGUACCUGCAGAAGAAGCGCCGGCUAACUACGUGCCAGCAGCCGCGGUAAUACGUAGGGCGCAAGCGUUAUCCGGAAUUAUUGGGCGUAAAGAGCUCGUAGGCGGUUUGUCGCGUCUGCCGUGAAAGUCCGGGGCUCAACUCCGGAUCUGCGGUGGGUACGGGCAGACUAGAGUGAUGUAGGGGAGACUGGAAUUCCUGGUGUAGCGGUGAAAUGCGCAGAUAUCAGGAGGAACACCGAUGGCGAAGGCAGGUCUCUGGGCAUUAACUGACGCUGAGGAGCGAAAGCAUGGGGAGCGAACAGGAUUAGAUACCCUGGUAGUCCAUGCCGUAAACGUUGGGCACUAGGUGUGGGGGACAUUCCACGUUUUCCGCGCCGUAGCUAACGCAUUAAGUGCCCCGCCUGGGGAGUACGGCCGCAAGGCUAAAACUCAAAUGAAUUGACGGCUGAGACGNGCGAGACGACGACGAGGGAGGAGG